AACCUCCGCAAUGUGAGAAAUCGCGACGGGGGGAUCCCAAGUGCCAUUCUUAACGGGAUGGCUUUUCUUAAGUGUAAAAAGCUUUUGGAAUAAGAGCUGGGCAAGACCGGUGCCAGCCGCCGCGGUAACACCGGCAGCUCUAGUGGUAGCUGUUUUUAUUGGGCCUAAAGCGUUCGUAGCCGGUUUGAUAAGUCACUGGUGAAAUCCUGUAGCUUAACUGUGGGAAUUGCUGGUGAUACUGUUGAACUUGAGGUCGGGAGAGGUUAGCGGUACUCCCAGGGUAGAGGUGAAAUUCUGUAAUCCUGGGAGGACCACCUGUGGCGAAGGCGGCUAACUGGAACGAACCUGACGGUGAGGGACGAAAGCUAGGGGCGCGAACCGGAUUAGAUACCCGGGUAGUCCUAACUGUAAACGAUGCGGACUUGGUGUUGGGUGGCUUUGAGCUGCUCCAGUGCCGAGGAAGCUGUUAAGUCCGCCGCCUGGGAAGUACGGUCGCAAGACUGAAACUUAAAGGAAUU
This 518-nucleotide ribosomal RNA is filed under the name uncultured bacterium. Its description in RNAcentral is "bacterial SSU rRNA". It matches the Rfam family "Archaeal small subunit ribosomal RNA", at positions 345 to 866 of the family's 1478-position model. The record is from RNAcentral.